Molecule: ribosomal RNA, 539 nt
Filed under: uncultured bacterium
Lineage: Bacteria
Description: bacterial SSU rRNA
Rfam family: Bacterial small subunit ribosomal RNA
Source: RNAcentral
AGAGUUUGAUCAUGGCUCAGAAUCAACGCUGGCGGCGUGCCUAACACAUGCAAGUCGAACGCGAAAGCCCCGCAAGGGGCAAGUAGAGUGGCAAACGGGUGAGUAACACGUGGGUGACCUGCCUUCGAGUGGGGGAUAACGUCCCGAAAGGGACGCUAAUACCGCAUGACAUCCUGCCUUUGAACAGGCGGAGAUCAAAGCUGGGGAUCGCAAGACCUGGCGCUCAAAGAGGGGCCCGCGCCUGAUUAGCUAGUUGGUGGGGUAAUGGCUCACCAAGGCAACGAUCAGUAUCCGGCCUGAGAGGGCGGACGGACACACUGGGACUGAGACACGGCCCAGACUCCUACGGGAGGCAGCAGUGGGGAAUUGUUCGCAAUGGGCGCAAGCCUGACGACGCAACGCCGCGUGGAGGAUGAAGACCUUCGGGUCGUAAACUCCUUUCGAUCGAGACGAAUGGCUCCCGGGUGAACAGCCCGGGGGAAUGACGGUACCGAGAGAAGAAGCCCCGGCUAACUCCGUGCCAGCCGCCGCGGUAAUAC